Molecule: ribosomal RNA, 432 nt
Filed under: uncultured bacterium
Lineage: Bacteria
Description: partial 16S ribosomal RNA
Rfam family: Bacterial small subunit ribosomal RNA
Source: RNAcentral
ACGAACGCUGGCGGCAUGCCUAACACCUGCAAGUCGAACGAGACCUUCGGGUCUAGUGGCGCACGGGUGCGUAACGCGUGGGAACCUGCCCUUAGGUUCGGAAUAACUCCCCGAAAGGGGUGCUAAUACCGGAUAAUGUCUUCGGACCAAAGAUUUAUCGCCUUUGGAUGGGCCCGCGUUGGAUUAGCUAGUUGGUAGGGUAAAAGCCUACCAAGGCGACGAUCCAUAGCUGGUCUGAGAGGAGGAUCAGCCACACUGGGACUGAGACACGGCCCAGACUCCUACGGGAGGCAGCAGUGGGGAAUAUUGGACAAUGGGCGAAAGCCUGAUCCAGCAAUGCCGCGUGAGUGAUGAAGGCCUUAGGGUUGUAAAGCUCUUUUACCCGGGAUGAUAAUGACAGUACCGGGAGAAUAAGCUCCGGCUAACUCCGUG